GCCCCUGAUGUAUCAUGUUUGUGCAAAAGACACCCCCCAUCUAUUUUUGUCUAGGUUUGGAACCCUCAAUGAUACUGAAAAGUGUAACGGGUACCCCUCCGUCACUUUGACGUUAAAAAAUUAACGGAAGGGGCUGAUGUGGAUUUUUUUUUUUUAGAAAUGCCACGUGGAAAUUACGUUUUAAAUUAGGAAAAAAUUGUGAGGGAGAUUCGAACCCAAGCCUCAAAAGUGGCAAAACCAGAACCUAACCAUGUGAGCUACAUAGAGACUUGUAAUAUUUAUCAACACAAUUUUAUUUAUACCAUUUAUUUCUUCACAAAAUUCUUCUAAAAAUCACCAAAAUUGAUGGGAUAAAAAAAUGGGGUUUCAGCAGUUGCGAUUAGAAUUUGAAGGUCAAAAACGAAAUCUAAACACCGUAUGUGAAGCUUUCU
This 431-nucleotide long non-coding RNA is filed under the name Lotus japonicus. RNAcentral's name for it is "long non-coding RNA (LJAP_LNC000519)". Lineage: Eukaryota; Viridiplantae; Streptophyta; Magnoliopsida; Fabales; Fabaceae. The record is from RNAcentral.